AACGAACGCUGGCGGCGUGGAUAAGACAUGCAAGUCGAACGAGAGAAUUGCUAGCUUGCUAAUAAUUCUCUAGUGGCGCACGGGUGAGUAACACGUGAGUAACCUGCCCCCGAGAGCGGGAUAGCCCUGGGAAACUGGGAUUAAUACCGCAUAGUAUCGAAAGAUUAAAGCAGCAAUGCGCUUGGGGAUGGGCUCGCGGCCUAUUAGUUAGUUGGUGAGGUAACGGCUCACCAAGGCGAUGACGGGUAGCCGGUCUGAGAGGAUGUCCGGCCACACUGGAACUGAGACACGGUCCAGACACCUACGGGUGGCAGCAGUCGAGAAUCAUUCACAAUGGGGGAAACCCUGAUGGUGUGACGCCGCGUGGGGGAAUGAAGGUCUUCGGAUUGUAAACCCCUGUCAUGUGGGAGCAAAUUAAAAAGAUAGUACCACAAGAGGAAGAGACGGCUAACUCUGUGCCAGCAGCCGCGGUAAUACAGAGGUCUCAAGCGUUGUUCGGAAUCACUGGGCGUAAAGCGUGCGUAGGCUGUUUCGUAAGUCGUGUGUGAAAGGCGCGGGCUCAACCCGCGGACGGCACAUGAUACUGCGAGACUAGAGUAAUGGAGGGGGAACCGGAAUUCUCGGUGUAGCAGUGAAAUGCGUAGAUAUCGAGAGGAACACUCGUGGCGAAGGCGGGUUCCUGGACAUUAACUGACGCUGAGGCACGAAGGCCAGGGGAGCGAAAGGGAUUAGAUACCCCUGUAGUCCUGGCAGUAAACGGUGCACGCUUGGUGUGCGGGGAAUCGACCCCCUGCGUGCCGGAGCUAACGCGUUAAGCGUGCCGCCUGGGGAGUACGGUCGCAAGAUUAAAACUCAAAGAAAUUGACGGGGACCCGCACAAGCGGUGGAGUAUGUGGCUUAAUUCGAUGCAACGCGAAGAACCUUACCUGGGCUUGACAUGUAAUGAACAACAUGUGAAAGCAUGCGACUCUUCGGAGGCGUUACACAGGUGCCGCAUGGCCGUCGUCAGCUCGUGUCGUGAGAUGUUUGGUUAAGUCCAGCAACGAGCGCAACCCCUGUUGCCAGUUACCAGCACGUGAAGGUGGGGACUCUGGCGAGACUGCCCAGAUCAACUGGGAGGAAGGUGGGGACGACGUCAGGUCAGUAUGGCCCUUAUGCCCAGGGCUGCACACGUACUACAAUGCCCAGUACAGAGGGGGCCGAAGCCGCGAGGCGGAGGAAAUCCUGAAAACUGGGCCCAGUUCGGACUGUAGGCUGCAACCCGCCUACACGAAGCCGGAAUCGCUAGUAAUGGCGCAUCAGCUACGGCGCCGUGAAUACGUUCCCGGGUCU
This 1332-nucleotide ribosomal RNA is filed under the name uncultured bacterium. Its description in RNAcentral is "bacterial SSU rRNA". It matches the Rfam family "Bacterial small subunit ribosomal RNA", at positions 28 to 1381 of the family's 1533-position model. The record is from RNAcentral.